Molecule: long non-coding RNA, 5097 nt
Filed under: Lepisosteus oculatus (spotted gar)
Lineage: Eukaryota; Metazoa; Chordata; Actinopteri; Semionotiformes; Lepisosteidae
Description: lncRNA (ENSLOCG00000021083.1)
Source: RNAcentral
UCUUGUACCAGAUUGCCAAAACCCCAUUUGUGAAGAAAUACCUCCAAUUCUUAGUUUUGAAUGCACUUCCAUGAAGUUUCCACUUGUAUGCGUAGUUUGUGUUUCAAAUGUUGAGAAGGUGAUGAUUUAAAGGAGACCAGUUAAACCAGUUUUGUUGUGAUAGAUAAUUAGUACUGUAUAUAUGCAUAAAACCUGGGGAGUGACUUUUAAUCAUUAGUUUUGUUGGUUAGAGCUCAAAUUCAAAUUGUUUUUAUAUCAUGUUACCUGUGGCAAACCAUAAUUCUCUUUCAUGUAGGUUUCAUGUGGGACAAUAAAAUGUGCACAAAGUUUGCUGUAAUUUCAUAUUUAUAGCAAUCAAAGCUCCAAAACAUUUCCAAUGUAAAUCAACUUUCAUGCUUUGAAAGGUUUUACAUUGUUUUUUUUUCAAUUGCAUCAGAUGUUCCAGUGCAAGUAUAACAGGCACAGAGGAGGAUAAAAAAAGAAAUAGCACAGACGUCUAAAAGAAGCAGAAGACUACAGGAAGUGACAGUACUUUAUAACCGCGCUGUUUCUCUUUCCUUUCAGUUCAUCUCUCUUCAGUUCAGAUCCCCUGACUGCCUGUCACCUGAAGUUUGCCUGCUGUUGAUACUGAUAAAGUCUCUAGACUUUGAACAAUAAAUGCAUCAUUCUCUUGGUGGAGCAUCUGGUGUAUGAAUGAGGACUGAGAUAUGGGAAACUGCUGCUGUGCGAGGAACAGGAAAACAAAAGAAGAUGCCACAGGAGAAAAUGACAGCAGUACUGCAAAUGCAAACAAUAAAGAGGACGUUUUGUAUGCUACAAUCGACCAUGGAGAGGGGGUCAGAACGUUUGUGCAGCCCUGCGAUGACCACUGUGAAUACACCACUGUCAUCAUGCCACCUGCAGCACUGAAAGUGUCUAGUAAAGAGAAAGAGGACUGUAGUGAUGAUUAUGUUCUAAUGAAUUAGUUUUAAAUUCUGAGGGAUCCUUAUGAAGUCUUUGUCCCUGCUUUAUUAAAUGUAUACAUACCCCUUUAAUGUUCAGACACCACACAGUUUGGCAGAUAAACUCAAUGCAUUCCCAAUCUAAUCAAUGUCCAACACUAUCAACAGAUAUGUUUAUGAUCCAGGAAUCAGUCCAAGGUCAUGGGGAGAAAAAGGAUAUUUCCUCCAUUCUAAUGUCAAUGGGCGGCCUUGUGGCCACAUAGAUUGGCAAUACCUAUCUUUAGAGAUGCUCAGUGCGAAUUUUGGUCGAAGAGAUUUUACAGGUGCUUGGUAUAAUUUAGACUAACACUCUUUUGGUGUGACAUGACUUCCUGCCCACAUGACCAGUUGAUUGUUCCAUUGAAAGAGUUUGCCACCACAGUCGGCAUUCAACCAUGUUGCUCCCCUGAGUUUGCAUCAGCUGAGCCCCCAUGGCCAGUGGUGCACAAAGAAGAAAGACCACAAAAGAGACAGAAGAAAGCAGCUGGAGAGGGUAGAAGGGAGAAGAGCCAAUACUGCAUCCAGUUUCAACAGUGACAGAGUCGGGGACUUGGGCACUGAAGAAUAACAACUUAAAUAGAGGCAAAGGAGCUCUGUGUUUAAUUGUGAAACUGUUUAAGUUUGUGUUUUGAAACAUGCCUGUCUGCGACUGUUACUCGUGUUUUACUUUUUGUUGUUUAUAUGCUGAAUUAUUGGUAUCAAAGGCUGCCUCCUUUCAGCCUCCGUUAAGAGUACAAUUUGUGCAGUGGAUAAUAACUGAUUUUCUAAAAACAGCCUUACUUUCGUCAAGACAGAGACUUAACUCUAGUUCUGAAGAUACUACAGUAGAUCAAUGUUAGAGCUCUAGUAAGGAAAGCUACAGUACAUGUAAUUGGGCAGCAGAACUUACUCCUGUUGUAAAUAUUAGUUUUAUGUUGGUUGUAGUUUUGUGUAAUAAAUAUUUGCCCAUUAAUCUCUUGUCUUAUUAAUUUUUUACAAGCAUUAGCAGAAAUUUCCAAACAUGGGGGAGUUUUAUUAUUUAACUUUCAUAACUUCUAACCUUUAAUUACUAGUAAUGCUUCCCUUUGUGUUACAAUCAACUGAGAAUUUUGCUACAAUAGUUUUCGAAAUUGUCCAUACAGUCCAUACAUACAGGAUCCUCGGCCUCGUGCUUAGGACAAAGUCCAAGUCCCAGUGCAGACAACACUGCUUGUCACGUGAUUGUCUCUGAGGGUGCAUGAAAAUGGCCAAAAAAAGGAGAGCCCCGACCUGAGCUUGUGCUACUUUUUUGACCAAGUCACAGAUGUGUGAUGAUUGGUUGAGAGUUUGGUGGGCAUUGGAGACCCACGUGGUGUUACCACGCCCUGCCAGUCCCUGAGUGGUUGAUCAAGGUGAGAGAUGAGUCACUUACUCCUGACACUUAGGAAUGCAGUCCAGAUGUCCUUCUGGCACUCCCUAGACAGAUAGGCGCCAGGGAUGACCAUUGAUUAGGCUUAGCUAAGUCCCCAUUUGGGAGUUGUUCUUUAACAAAAGAAAACACCUUAAAUCAGCCUGCAUGAAUAGAUUCUCUGUGGCUACACCACAGAGAUGAAGAGAGAGAUGGGGCCUCAUUUAAGACAGCACAGCAACACUUAAUUCUGUCUUAUUAACAAGCAUUGCCGCUACACUCCUAUCCUGGAGUCCUUGCACUGGCUUCUGUUAAAUUCCGUGUAGACUUUAAAAUCCUCAUGCUCACCUAUAAGGCUCUGCAUGGCUUGGCACCUCAGUAUCUGUCUGAACUAUUAUCCUACUCCCCACCUCGCAACCUUCGCUCUUCUAAUUCUGCUCUCCUUACUCUCCCCCAAGCCCGUCUAUAUUGUAUGGGUGACAGGGCCUUCUCCUGUUAUGCCCCCAAGCUCUGGAACUCUCUCCCCAAGGAUAUCAGAGAGUCACCUUCUCUAAACUCCUUCAAAUCCAGACUCAAAACCCUCUUCUUUACUUAACUGGUUCCAUUCUUCACCCCUCUGCUUUUCUUAGUACCACCAUCCACGGUCUCCUCUAUAUAUUGUAAUUGUGUUUUAUCUUGUGUAUUCUUCUUAUUUAUUGUUGUUGUCAUCCUGUAAAGCGCUUUGAGAAGCCACCUUUAAAGGCGCUAUAUAAAAUAAAGUUUAUUAUUAUUAUAGUUUAUUAUGAGAGAUAGAAAGUUGUUGGACUGCAGAAAUAGUGUUGGAGCAGCCAACAUUAAUUGGUUGGGUUGUAUUCCGGCAAGUUAUUCCUUAUUUUGAGUGAAUUACAUCACAACUUUCUGAAAGUGUAAUGAAAUCGCUAUAGAGAAGGGAAGUUCAAGAGGAACUGUUUUUCUUUUGUACAGAGAUAAGAUAAAGGUCCUAAAAAUAGAGAACAGUGUUCUGCAAAGAAUUGUUCUCUCAAAAUAAAUUACUUUUGCUUAUAGGGACACAUGAGAGUAGCCUCACUGAUAUAUAACCUCUUUAUAUAACCUCUGUAAGUAGCCAUACAGUACAACCUGAAUGCAACACCUUUUGAAAAUGAUAUAUCCAGUAUAUAUCCAGAUAUCAGAAUCUGGAACAUUUUCUAAUAUAUAAAUGCAACAUUUCAUUGUAUAACUCACAUUGAGUCUUCGUUACUCUUUCACACAGCAUCAGAACUUGAUAGAGAUAGUUUACAAACAGACUAUGUCACCCUUGAUAAUGAAAAUGAACACAGAGGUAAACAUUUCAGUGUCUAGUAAUUCUGUAACCAUUUUUACUUCACAGGGAUAAUAUACAAUUUAAUUUCACACGUCCAUUCUUAACAAAGAAAGACUCAAAACAGCAGGGCAGUGCCUAUACUUUUUCACAGGCUAAAGAAGUUUGGCAUGCCGUCACAUAUCCAUGCCUCAGUGGCUAAGGAUCUGCACCUGUGGCUAGAAGGUUGCCAGUUCAAAUCCCGCAGCCGGCAGGGGAAUCCUACUCUGUUGGGCUCCUGAGCAAGGCCCUUCACCCCAGCUGCUCCAGGGGCGCUGUACAAUGGCUGACCCUGCACUCUAAUCCCAAGCUUCUCUACCUGUCUGUGUGUCUCAUGGAGAGCAAGCUGGGGUAUGACAAAUUCCUAAUGCAAGAAAUUGUAUAGGGCUAAUAAAGUGAGCUUAUCUUAACUUCUUAAGAAAUUGUAUAGGGCUAAUAAAGUGAGCUUAUCUUAACUUCUACAGGUGCACUGUUGAGAGUAUCCUGACUGGCUGCAUACGGCCUGGUAUGGGCGCUGCUCCGCCAGGGAUCGCAAAGUACUGCAGGUGGUGAAAUCAGCGCAGAUUAUCACCGGCUGCGUGCUACCAGACAUCGAGGAUGUCACGCUUUCACAUAAUCAGACACCUAACCUUUCUAAUUCUCACAAAUGCAGGCGCAUUCCUCCGACCACAGUUAAUCAGACACCAGACCGAUCCAAUUCCCGAAAACGACAGCGCACAAAUUUAUCAUCCUAUCACUUCACUGCAUGGUAUUAUAUAGUCAACUGUUUUCCUGAGCCUCAUCUCUCGUUUGAGAUCAAAGCAAAAACCCUUUUUUCUAGCCUGGAUAUCAUUACAACCUGCCUACCCGACCCAGACUUCGUCUUGCUCUUUUGGGUUUGUCUAAACUCUUUUCUGUUUCUUUAGCUAUCGACAGUGCCUGCUUACCCGACUCCGGAAUUCGUCUUGCCCUAUUGAAUUUGUUUGCUCCAGGCAUUGGACACGACCUGCAUAGGGUUCUUUGUACGUUUUGUGAUGGAGGAUAUCUACUCUGUUAGAUGCCACAAGAAAUGCAGGAUUGUACUCAAGGACCCCAGUCACCCAUACCACAAUCAGUUUUCCCUACUACGUCUGGAAAACGACACCGAAGCCUGCAAGCAGCCACCAGUAAUUACCCAAACGUUUUUCUCGCCUGGGUUUUUUCGCUGCCUACGGUUUUUUUUACUGCAUAAUCUUGUAAAUUGUUAAGGUAUAAUUUAUUGCAUUCUUCUUGCAACCUAUCAAGUUCUGUCCUAUCUCUCCUUGGUGAGCUUGCAGAAAAUGCAUUUCACUGCCGACUGUAUUGUCGUGCAUUGACAAAUGAACAAUGAUUCAUACUGUAGAAGCACUUUAAGUCUCAUGACAUUUAUUAAGUACGUGAUUAGAUGUGUGACACCC